Molecule: long non-coding RNA, 1598 nt
Filed under: Homo sapiens (human)
Lineage: Eukaryota; Metazoa; Chordata; Mammalia; Primates; Hominidae
Description: HSALNT0109584
Source: RNAcentral
AUAAAGACAGUCACAUGGGAAAAUUUAAAGACUUUUAACAGCAAACCUAUGAAAUAGGUCUCUGGCCCCUAGUUCAGAAUGUUCUCCAUUGUCCUGGCUGAUGAGUGUAUUGCCAUUUAUUUCAAGGCAGAAGAAUGAAGCUUGAGAUUGUCAGAAAUAUAUAGGGAAAGUUUUUAGGUUUUCAUUGUAAAUACAGGAAGUAGUGCAAUACACUUCUCAUUUCAGUAAAUAAGGCAAAAUUAGAAGUUAUGUCAUACAUUAAUGUCUUCAGUUUAAAAAGUCUUAUCACUAUAAAAUGAGAAACAAGUAAUUCUAGUUUAUUUCAACAAAAUCUUGAGGACCGUAUGAAAGAGAACAUCUGCUCUGCCAGAAGUGAAAAGACCAGAAACCUAGAAUGCUCUGAUCAUGAUGUGCUCUUAGCAGCACAAAAUAGAGGCUGGUUGGCUCUGUGUAAUCCUUGAGCUUUAGGUAUGUGUUGUUCGGACUGCCUUUCUCUAAGCUGAUAUCCCUGACAAUGAGAGAAAAACUGAAUUUUGAUUUUAAAACUAUAAUCUGGAACCCAGCAUUCCUGUGGCCUAGCUACAUUUUUUUUUCUUUUUCUUUUUACUGACCAAGCUAUAACCUCUAGGCAGCUUUCCUUGGAAAUACAACAUUGAAGCAAAGGGCAGACACGCUCUCUUAGAGUUUUCAAGUCUCAUACACAGAAUUGGGCCCUCAGUUACAAAGUGCCGAGCUCAAAGAUCCUGGAAGAGAAGCUUGGGAAGCCCAAGGCUGAGGACUGGCUCUAGAUAGAACAAUAGGUAAUAUUUAAUAAACAAUCAUGUGUCAGCAACUGUUCUGAGCUCUUUGUAUGGCAAUUCAUUUCUCAUAACUAAGAAAGGAAUUAGCUACCACUGGAGGUAACUCAGUCUUAUUUGUGUUAUCACCAUCUGACUAUUCCAAGGGACCAGUGUGUUCUUGCUGAGUCAGGUUAACAAUCCUAGAUACUGCUUGAAGGAAAAUUUAUAUAGUAGUCAAUAGCGUGUGUGUGUGUGUGUGUGUGUAUGUACACACUAUAUACACACACCUUCAACAAAGCAAACAUUGUGGUAGAUUUUAUAAUCCUGUCAGGGUAGUGAGAAAGACCAUGUCACCAUUUGGCAAAAUUUACAUUCAAAUCCUGUUACUACCUUGCUUUCUCUUCUUUAUCAGAGGCCAUAUUCAUAUUGGCUUCAUCAAAGUUACAUACACUCCUUUUCAGCAAACGUGUAUGCAUAAUCAAUAAAUAUUCAGAUGUUCUUUGAGCACUUUUCUCAGAAUAUUUUUUUUAGGUGAUUUGCUUCACUUGUAGCUGGAGUUGGGUCUGGAGUGAAAUUGGAAGUACAGUAACUUACAUGGCUCCAUAUGAAGUAAGUUUAAAAGUGGAGGUGUGUGAUGAGUGUAUAAAGCUUGUCAGUUUCAUAGGCUAACUUAACAUACAUGUUGCUCAGUUACUGAAUUGCACAGGAUUAAGAGGCCACAAGAUGGCAAACUAACACUGGAAAGGAGUAUGUACAGUUAAGGUCUGAAAAUUGAACCAGAAAUUACCUUCCCAUUUUUUAUUUAUAUUUUAAAGGGGA